Molecule: long non-coding RNA, 246 nt
Organism: Alosa alosa (allis shad)
Lineage: Eukaryota; Metazoa; Chordata; Actinopteri; Clupeiformes; Clupeidae
Exons: 3
Source: RefSeq, a predicted model, not a curated record
UCCACAGUCCUCCAAAUGAAAAAAAGUAUGGAACCAAAAACGCGAGUGGUGGAGCAAACAUCCUAUGUGGACACUACCAUCGAACCUGAGCUGGCAAAAAGGAGAGCAGAAUUACUGGAUUAUUCAGCAUCACACAGUAACUCCAGUUCCUCGCUUGAGGUUUUAGAGCUGGAAGCAGUUGGAGAGGAUGACACCAGUUAUCAAGAGCACCUGAAUUUCAUCUUAAGGAGUUGGCCAAGAAGCAAC